CUUGGUCAUUUAGAGGAAGUAAAAGUCGUAACAAGGUUUCCGUAGGUGAACCUGCGGAAGGAUCAUUACUGAGUGAGGGUCUCUCAGGCCCGACCUCCCACCCGAUGUUUUUGUGACCUUGUUGCUUUGGCGGGCCCGCCUCGACGAGAGGCCGCCGGAAGCUCACCGCUUUGGGCCCGUGCCCGCCAGUAGCCCCCUUAAAUUCUUAAUGAACCUGUCGUCUGAGUCCAUGGAUAGAAUGAAAAAAAACUUUCAACAACGGAUCUCUUGGUUCUGGCAUCGAUGAAGAACGCAGCGAAAUGCGAUAAGUAAUGUGAAUUGCAGAAUUUAGUGAAUCAUCGAAUCUUUGAACGCAUAUUGCGCCCUUUGGUAUUCCGAAGGGCAUGCCUGUUCGAGCGUCAUUAACGACCGUCAAGCCUGGCUUGGUGUUGGACGUCGGUCGUUGAGACCGCGUCCUAAAGACGUUGGCGGUGUCGAUUCAGUCCUCGGUGCAACGAGCUCCACGAGCACGCACCGCAUGGGCUAUCGGCGCCCGCCUAGACCCCUUAUUUUCUCAGGUUGACCUCGGAUCAGGUAGGUAUACCCGCUGAACUUAAGCAUAUCAAUAAGCGGAGGA
This 616-nucleotide ribosomal RNA is filed under the name uncultured fungus. Its description in RNAcentral is "eukaryotic LSU rRNA". The stretch from base 248 to 401 matches the Rfam family "5.8S ribosomal RNA". The record is from RNAcentral. Lineage: Eukaryota; Fungi.